RNAcentral lists this ribosomal RNA (253 nucleotides) under uncultured bacterium. RNAcentral describes it as "partial 16S ribosomal RNA". It matches the Rfam family "Bacterial small subunit ribosomal RNA", at positions 524 to 776 of the family's 1533-position model. The record is from RNAcentral.
UACGUAGGGGGCAAGCGUUGUCCGGAAUUAUUGGGCGUAAAGAGCGCGCAGGCGGUCGGAUAAGUCGAAUGUGAAAGCCCCCGGCUCAACUGGGGAGGGUCAUUCGAUACUGUUCGACUCGAAGGCAGGAGAGGGAAGUGGAAUUCCCGGUGUAGUGGUGAAAUGCGUAGAUAUCGGGAGGAACACCAGUGGCGAAGGCGACUUCCUGGCCUGUUCUUGACGCUGAGGCGCGAAAGCUAGGGGAGCAAACGGG